RNAcentral lists this unclassified non-coding RNA (27 nucleotides) under Mus musculus (house mouse). RNAcentral describes it as "oocyte_clustered_small_RNA5091". The record is from RNAcentral. Lineage: Eukaryota; Metazoa; Chordata; Mammalia; Rodentia; Muridae.
CGGAGACACCACUGGUUUGGAGGAUAG